AUGGAACCAUUAGUGGUGAAGCAAACAGAUGGGGAUAUCAAAAGGAAUAGGCUGCGGCUUAGAGUAACCGUUGAUUCACUACGGUGGUUAGCAUUCCAAGCUUGCCCCUUUCGAGGACAUGAUGAAAGUCUGGAUUCGAAGAACCAAGGUAAUUUCCUUGAAAUGGUGAAACUGAUAGCUUCUUAUGAUGAGGAAAUUGGUGUUGUAGUGUUGGGUAAUGCUCCAGGCAAUGCUAAGUACACAUCGCCUACAAUUCAAAAAGAACUUCUAGGUAUCAUUGCUUCUAAGGUGCAAAGUGAAAUCCGUAAAGAAAUAGGAGAUGCUAAGUUCUGCUUGCUUGUUGACGAGUGAAGAGAUGAAUCCAAAAAAGAGCAAAUGGCAGUAGUUAUUCUUUUUGUUGAUAAACCUGGUUUCACUCGUGAGCAUUUUCUUGAUAUUGGUCAUGUUGCUGAUACAUCUUCGGCUACUCUAAAAGAAGAGAUAUCUUCUGUUUUGGUUCAACAUCAGUUAGAUGUGAACAAUAUUCGCGGCCAAGGAUACGAUGGUGCUAGCAACAUGCAUGGAGAGUGGAAUGGACUGACAAGCAAAGUUCAUGGAGGAGUGUCCUUAUGCAUAUUAUAUCCAUUGUUUUGCUCAUCAGUUGCAGCUAGCUCUUGUUGCUGCAUCAAAAGAAGUAGCCGAUGUUCACAACUUUUUUGA
Molecule: ribosomal RNA, 699 nt
Filed under: Triticum aestivum (bread wheat)
Lineage: Eukaryota; Viridiplantae; Streptophyta; Magnoliopsida; Poales; Poaceae
Description: partial small subunit ribosomal RNA
Source: RNAcentral